UCCGGUCUACCUGCAGUUUGAAACAAAACAAUGGCGGCAGAGACCUUGAGCAAUUCAGUGAAGUCUCUUAAAGCAGCACCUUUUGAGAGAAGAACGUUCCAGCAGAAGCUCGACGUUAAAGAAAGCGGGCCCGACCAGCCGAACAUUAAAAUUAAGCAGAAGUCAAAAGACAGAGGGAGAGAAUACACGAAGUCUUUCUUUAAGAGCUGGUUUAGCAACAGGGCCUGGCUAGCGGCGUGCAGCGAGACGAAUGCUCUGUUUUGUUUCCCCUGCCUGCUUUUCCCCACGUCAGCAUGUGAUUCCGCAUGGACAAGAAUAGGUUUGUGACACCAUCAUGUGCCAUAUAAGUGAAAGAUUUGCCUUCACAAAGCAUCUGAUUAGUGCUACACUGCUAUGUGCAGCCAGAUUUCAGGAGUACCACAGCCAGUUUCCUGAAGCAGCACUGAACACCACCAUCGAGGCUUACCCAUUGCUGAACAAGAGCAGGCUGAAAACUGAACUGGCUCUAGUCUACAGCAAUGAUGAGUUCCGGAACUGCAGUGGUGUUGUGACUCUGUACCAGCUUUUCAUGGAGAACAAUCUUCAGGACAUCUUCUCGGAUACGGUGGCUCUGCUGAAGAGCCUCAUCACGACGCCGAGGACCACAGCUGAAUCUGAGAGGUGUUGCUCAACACUGGAGAGAAUCAAGACCUUCCUCAGGAACACAAUGUCACAGGAUCAUCUCAAUGCAUUAGCCAUGCUCUUUAUUGAGAGGAAUCUUGUCAAAAACAUCCCUGACUUUAACCAUAGUGUCAUUGAUAAAUUUGCCUCAAGGACAGAAGGGCAAAAUUUAUGUACAAAAAAUAGAACAUUGCAUGACACCAUCAGAUGACGUCACAAUUUGUGAAAUGCGCAAUUUUUUGUUUUCUUUUGUAAUCCUGCUCACUUGAACGUUUUUGCAAUACUUCUGCAACCUGCAGUACUUGAACAGUUGACUCCAAUGCUUGCAUCUUUGCAAUUAUAUGGAUGUUUUUUGCACUAGCUGAACUACGACUGCCAAAGUCAAAUACAGUGCUUUUUUUCAAAUGGCCAUUGUUUUAAAUUGGUUCUUACGUCUUCAAUAUUUAUCUUUUGUAAUUUAAAAGUUUUUUUCAAUUUGUCAGUGGAGGGAGACUUGCAAAGAGAGUUUCAGUGCUACUUUUGUUU
This is an RNA transcript of Phycodurus eques (leafy seadragon), 1185 nucleotides long. RefSeq lists it as uncharacterized. NCBI's taxonomy places the organism in Eukaryota, Metazoa, Chordata, Actinopteri, Syngnathiformes, Syngnathidae. The transcript is spliced from 2 exons. The record is from RefSeq and is a predicted model, not a curated record.